This 254-nucleotide ribosomal RNA is filed under the name uncultured bacterium. RNAcentral describes it as "partial 16S ribosomal RNA". It matches the Rfam family "Bacterial small subunit ribosomal RNA", at positions 524 to 776 of the family's 1533-position model. The record is from RNAcentral.
UACGUAGGGUGCGAGCGUUAUCCGGAUUCACUGGGCGUAAAAGGUUGCGUAGGCGGAUUUGUACAUCUUAAUUAAAAGCCUUCGACUCAAUCGGAGUUUCGGUUAAGAUAUGGCAAGUCUUGAUGGUAUGAAGGGGUGUUGGAACCGAUAGUGGAGCAGCGAAAUGUGUUGAUAUUAUCGGGAACGCCGAAGGAGUAGUCAGACACCUGGCAUACCCAUGACGCUUAGGCACGACAGCUUGGGGAGCGAAGCAG